This 434-nucleotide ribosomal RNA is filed under the name uncultured bacterium. RNAcentral's name for it is "bacterial SSU rRNA". It matches the Rfam family "Bacterial small subunit ribosomal RNA", at positions 340 to 766 of the family's 1533-position model. The record is from RNAcentral.
UACGGGAGGCAGCAGUAGGGAAUCUUCCGCAAUGGGCGAAAGCCUGACGGAGCAACGCCGCGUGAGUGAUGAAGGUCUUCGGAUCGUAAAACUCUGUUAUUAGGGAAGAACAAACGUGUAAGUAACUGUGCACGUCUUGACGGUACCUAAUCAGAAAGCCACGGCUAACUACGUGCCAGCAGCCGCGGUAAUACGUAGGUGGCAAGCGUUAUCCGGAAUUAUUGGGCGUAAAGCGCGCGUAGGCGGUUUUUUAAGUCUGAUGUGAAAGCCCACGGCUCAACCGUGGAGGGUCAUUGGAAACUGGAAAACUUGAGUGCAGAAGAGGAAAGUGGAAUUCCAUGUGUAGCGGUGAAAUGCGCAGAGAUAUGGAGGAACACCAGUGGCGAAGGCGACUUUCUGGUCUGUAACUGACGCUGAUGUGCGAAAGCGUGGGG